RNAcentral lists this ribosomal RNA (505 nucleotides) under Cervidellus vexilliger. Its description in RNAcentral is "SSU rRNA". It matches the Rfam family "Eukaryotic small subunit ribosomal RNA", at positions 88 to 590 of the family's 1831-position model. Lineage: Eukaryota; Metazoa; Nematoda; Chromadorea; Rhabditida; Cephalobidae. The record is from RNAcentral.
CGCGAAUAGCUCAUUACAACAGCUAUAAUUCACUUGAUCUUGACACAAUCCUACUUGGAUAACUGUGGUAAUUCUAGAGCUAAUACAUGCAUUAAAGCUCUGACCUCACGGGAAGAGUGCAUUUAUUAGAACAAAACCAAGCGGCUUCGGCUGUUUUCGGUUGACUCAUAGUAACUGAGCUGAUCGCAUGGUCUUGCACCGGCGACGUGUCUUUCAAGUAUCUGCCGUAUCAACUUUCGAUGGUAGUGUAUCUGACUACCAUGGUGAUCACGCGUAACGGAGAAUAAGGGUUCGACUCCGGAGAGUUCGCCUGAGAAAUCGCGAACACAUCUAAGGAAGGCAGCAGGCGCGAAAAUUACCCACUCUCAGCACGAGGAGGUAGCGACGAAAAAUAACGAGACCGUUCUCUUAUGAGGCCGGUCAUCGGAAUGGGUACAAUUUAAACCCUUUAACGAGUAUCUAUGAGAGGGCAAGUCUGGGGCCAGCAGCCGCGGUAAUUCCAGCU